CCUUGGCAUGACUAGUACGGCGAGUGACAGGCAGAGCUCAGAUUUGAAAGGCACUUUUGUGCCGUUGUAUUCUGAAGUUAGGGUCCUGAGAAACGAUGCUUAAGUCUUCUGGAAAGGAGCGCCAUGGAGGGUGAUAGCCCCGUCUAGCAUUGACCUCAUAUAGGAUCUUAACAUGGAGUCGAGUUGUUUGGGAAUGCAGCUCAAAUGGGUGGUAUGCUCCAUCUAAAGCUAAAUAUCUGCGAGAGACCGAUAGUAAACAAGUACUGUGAGGGAAAGAUGAAAAGAACUUUGAAAAGAGAGUGAAAAAGUACGUGAAAUUGUUGAAAUGGAAGGGUAGGCCGCUAACCAUGUAGAGCCGUGUUUGGGGGGAAGAUAAAUGCUGUAGAAUGUAGCUCCUCGGAGUAUUAUAGAUGCAGUUCAUAUUCCCACCCGAGCGCGAGGAUCUCAGGUUCUACUAAAUGGUGGUCUACCACCCGUCUUGAAACACGGACCCAACGUUUAGUAGAACCUGAGAUCUCGCGCUGGGUGGGAAUAUGAACUGCAUCUAUUAUACUCCGAGGAGCUACAUUCUACACAAUUAUUCUUCAACCGGCUCUACAUGGGUUAGGGCUACCUUCAUUUCACAAUUUCACGUAUUUUUACUCUUUUUCAAAGUUCUUUUCCUCUUUCCUCACAGUCUGUUUUCUAUCGGUCUUCCAGAAUUUUAAUUUUAGAUGGGAGCCAACCCAUUUGUGCUGCAUUCAAACAAUUGACUCCUUGUUAGAUCUAUAUGAAGGUCAUGCUAGACGGGGGCUAUCACUCAUGGGGGUUCUUUUCUCGAAAAAUUAAACAUUGAUUCUCAGGGACCCUAACUUCAGAAAACAAACGGGCCCAAAAGGCGCUUUACAAUUCGAAACUUCUGGCGUGUCACAUGCCCCGUACUAAGGGCAUCUCGGGGUGGGUUUCCCUUCUCGCUCUAAUGGGUAUUGC
This 969-nucleotide ribosomal RNA is filed under the name Starmerella bacillaris. RNAcentral describes it as "partial 26S ribosomal RNA". The stretch from base 1 to 489 matches the Rfam family "Eukaryotic large subunit ribosomal RNA", at positions 67 to 664 of the family's 3401-position model. Lineage: Eukaryota; Fungi; Ascomycota; Dipodascomycetes; Dipodascales; Trichomonascaceae. The record is from RNAcentral.